UUCGUCGACCAGGACGGCCGGAUG
RNAcentral lists this non-coding RNA (24 nucleotides) under Arabidopsis thaliana (thale cress). Lineage: Eukaryota; Viridiplantae; Streptophyta; Magnoliopsida; Brassicales; Brassicaceae. The record is from RNAcentral.